GGAUAUUUGAGAGGAGCUGCCCCUAGUACGAGAGGACCGGGGUGGACGGACCACUGGUGUAUCAGCUGUCGACCAACGGCAUAGCUGAGUAGCCAAGUCUGGACGGGAUAAACGCUGAAGGCAUCUAAGCGUGAAGCCCCCCUCAAGAUGAGAUAUCCCAUUCCUUUAAGGAAAUAAGAUCCCUUAUAGACGAUAAGGUAGAUAGGUUCAAGGUGUAAGUGCGGUAACGCAUUCAGCUGAUGAAUACUAAUAGAUCGAAGGUUUAUUCUA
RNAcentral lists this ribosomal RNA (270 nucleotides) under Pseudobutyrivibrio sp. JW11. RNAcentral describes it as "23S rRNA. Bacterial LSU". It matches the Rfam family "Bacterial large subunit ribosomal RNA", at positions 2656 to 2925 of the family's 2925-position model. The record is from RNAcentral. Lineage: Bacteria; Bacillati; Bacillota; Clostridia; Lachnospirales; Lachnospiraceae.